AGCGAACGCUGGCGGCAUGCCUAACACAUGCAAGUCGAACGAACUCUCCGGCGUUAGUCUCGGACGGGUUAGUGACACGGGGGAACAUGCCUUUGGGUUCGCAAUAACUCAGGGAAACUUGUGCUAAUACCGAAUGUGCUCUUCCGGGGAAAGAUUUAUUGCCAUUAGAGCGGCCCUCGUCUGAUUAGCUUGUUGGUGAGGUAACGGCUCACCAAUGCGACGAUCAGUAGCUGGUUUGAGAGGAUGACCAGCCACACUGGGGGUAGGACACGGCCCAGAAUCCUACGGAAGGGAGGAGUGGGGAAUCUAGCGAAAUGGGGGGAGGGCUGACGCCGCCAUGCCGGGUGAAUGAUGAAGGUCGUAGGAUUGUAAUAUUGUUUCACCGGGGACGAUAAUGACGGUACCCGGAGAAGAAGCCCCGGCUAACUUCGUG
This 433-nucleotide ribosomal RNA is filed under the name uncultured bacterium. Its description in RNAcentral is "partial 16S ribosomal RNA". It matches the Rfam family "Bacterial small subunit ribosomal RNA", at positions 29 to 507 of the family's 1533-position model. The record is from RNAcentral.